UUUUUAACAUAUUGCAGACGAAGAAAUCCAUGAGCAUUCUCGUUUUAUUUUAAUGCCUGAGGCUGAUUACGAAAAUUCUCGUAUUUUCAUCGUUGUCAUUUAGAAAGAAACAAUUUAACUAUACCCUAGGUAGACCUAGUAAUAAAACGAUUAAUUAACACAAUUUAUACUGAUAUAUUGUAUUUCGAUGUAGAGUUCUAUUUAGAUGAAUAUCGAAAUUUCAAUCAUCUGAAUAACAUCCGGGUACUAAGAGAACUAGAUAACGUUCCUGCAUCAAACGCACCCUGCUGGUAAAUUUUGAAAUUAAAAUUUGAAAUUGCACCAUUUCGCGCGGUGUCAUAUUGAGAAGAGGAAGCAACUGUCGAUAGUUCGUCAUAAAUGUGGAAAAUUUAAUAUACAAAACCAAGUCACUCCUUCAAAAUAGUGAGAAUCUUAAUUUCAUACAUUUUACAUUCAUAAUCUAAUACAAUUUAUAGUGAUUUGUCGUUUUCUAAUGUGAAUAGAUGUUUAUUGUUUUUCAAUCAAAGUUACGUCGAGAAGUACAAAUCAUUAUUGGAGUGAAAUUCUUUUCUUUUCACUGCCCUCGAUUUUUUUCUUUCCUUCUUUUCCCUUGAUGAUCUUUUUUACCUUUUUUUUCUUUUCUUUCAUAUAUCAUUAACAAAAGAAAUAUAGUUUGAUAAUAAUCGUUCGAUUUUACGGUAAUAAUAAUUAUGCGAUAUUUUAUUUUAAUUUUGCUGUAAAGUUUUAUAUUUCAUUAUCUUAAAUUGUUCGAACAAUCAUUACUUCUUUCAAAACAAAUUAUAAUAAUUCACAUUUUGUUAAAGGUAUUUGACUGCUUCCUCUUUUUUUUGCUCCUCGAAAAGGACCUAGUGGUGCUUGAAAAGUCAAGAAUGUUUCUUCCAACCUUCAUUUCCUUCAUUGAAUUCGACAAUUCCGACUUGAUGAGAAUUUCUCUUAAGAUGAUUUAAUGAGAAUUUCUCUUGGGCAACAUUAUCGAUGACAACGUUGUUCGUAUAUAAUCGUACUCACGUGCCUAGGUUCUAGUCGGAUGGGAGAAAAGCAAUGGGCAUGAUGACUAGUUUGUGAGUUUAACAAUUUUUCAGUGACUGAUGUUGCGUUAGUAUGGUGCACGACCGUUUGUGUGGUUAGGCUGUGGAAUUGCAUCGCUUUUGCUAUUCAUUAUAAUUUAAAAAUAUUUAUAAAUUCGCAAAUAUGAAUCCAAUUACAAUUGACAAUAACGAUGCUAAUAAAUAUGUAUAGCAGAUUAUAAAUAGUAAUAUUAAUCUUAGUAUUAAAUUACAAUGAUAGUUAGAUAGAAUUGAUUUAGAUAUCAUGAUCUAUUCUAG
Molecule: long non-coding RNA, 1346 nt
Organism: Bombus impatiens (common eastern bumble bee)
Lineage: Eukaryota; Metazoa; Arthropoda; Insecta; Hymenoptera; Apidae
Exons: 3
Source: RefSeq, a predicted model, not a curated record